This 497-nucleotide ribosomal RNA is filed under the name uncultured bacterium. RNAcentral's name for it is "partial 16S ribosomal RNA". It matches the Rfam family "Bacterial small subunit ribosomal RNA", at positions 28 to 507 of the family's 1533-position model. The record is from RNAcentral.
GAUGAACGCUGGCGGCGUGCCUAAUACAUGCAAGUCGAGCGAACGGACGAGAAGCUUGCUUCUCUGAUGUUAGCGGCGGACGGGUGAGUAACACGUGGAUAACCUACCUAUAAGACUGGGAUAACUUCGGGAAACCGGAGCUAAUACCGGAUAAUAUUUUGAACCGCAUGGUUCAAAAGUGAAAGACGGUCUUGCUGUCACUUAUAGAUGGAUCCGCGCGGCAUUAGCUAGUUGGUAAGGUAACGGCUUACCAAGGCAACGAUGCAUAGCCGACCUGAGAGGGUGAUCGGCCACACUGGAACUGAGACACGGUCCAGACUCCUACGGGAGGCAGCAGUAGGGAAUCUUCCGCAAUGGGCGAAAGCCUGACGGAGCAACGCCGCGUGAGUGAUGAAGGUCUUCGGAUCUUAAAACUCUGUUAUUAGGGAAGAACAUAUGUGUAAGUAACUGUGCACAUCUUGACGGUACCUAAUCAGAAAGCCACGGCUAACUACGUG